GCGACGACGACACAGUGCUGGUGAUUAUUCGCGACAUCUCCUCUCGCACAGCUAGGGCACACGACCUCCCACCGCCGGCCGUCUCUUCUUCCUCACCACCGGCCGACAGCUCUUCACUGCCGCACAGACCCCUCUCAGGAAUCGGGAAGUGCGGUGGUGGAUUUCGCCGGCGAUGACGACGCCCAACAACCUUCUCAACUGCGAGCCCACACCCUCCGCCCGACCCUCGGAGGCAGAGCCAUUACCUUGGCACGCCCAUCGCCACCCCUUCCUCCUCCUCUUCCUCCGCUGCCUAACUCCUUCAAGGGUUGCUGCUGCUGCCUCUUCCUACUCCUCACCUUCCUCCAAAUUGUUAACUCAUAUGAACACAUUGCAUCUUUGUUAACAUUUCAACGACUGAGGCUUCCUCCAAGUGUUUAACGUUGGGAACUUCAGAGUGGAACCACCAGGGUUAUUUCGUGGCCGAGGAGAGCAUCCAAAGAUGGGAAAACUAAAAAACAGAAUUAAGCCAAGAGAUAUUACAAUCAAUAUAGGAAAAGAUGCACCAAUUCCGGAAUGCUCAAUACCUGGUGAAAGAUGGAAAGAAGUAAAACAUGAUAAUAAUGUCACAUGGUUGGCAUUCUGGAAUGAUCCCAUAAAUCCAAAAGAGUUCAAGUAUGUCUUUCUGGCAGCGAGUAGUUCAUUAAAAGGGCAAAGUGACAAAGAGAAAUAUGAGAAAGCCAGGAUUAUAUACAAAAUAUUUGAAGAAACUAUACAAGAGAUUUUAAUAGUAAAGAUCCAACAAAGCGGCAAAUAGCAAUGGCAACUUACCUUUAUUGAUAAGCUGGCUCUCAGGGCAGGCAAUGAAAAGAUACACUGUGGUAGGUGUUUUGUCCCAGUCUCAAGCCGACAAUCCUUUUUGAUCAGUAUAUCUAGUAAAAGUAAGCAUGCAGAUUGUUGUCUUUGAGGCCGGCUAGCUAUUUUAUGCUUUUUUUGGUUUAAAUUCGAAUGUCACUAUCUACUUUGAAAUAGAACUAUUUAGUCUUUGUGUAUAGUUGAAUUCUCCUGUAAAUACUAAUACUUUGUAAUUGAAUUCUAUUAUUUUGGUACGAGU
Zingiber officinale is the source of this 1093-nucleotide RNA transcript. It is a transcript of the gene named DNA topoisomerase 1 beta-like, with no coding region annotated. The transcript has 6 exons. Lineage: Eukaryota; Viridiplantae; Streptophyta; Magnoliopsida; Zingiberales; Zingiberaceae. The record is from RefSeq and is a predicted model, not a curated record.